AGUAACGGCGAGUGAAGCGGUAACAGCUCAAAUUUGAAAUCUGGCCUCUCGGGGUCCGAGUUGUAAUUUGUAGAGGAUGUUUUGGGUACCGCCCCGGUCUAAAUUUCUUGGAACAGAAUGUCAAAGAGGGUGAGAAUCCCGUCUUGGACCGGCGGUAGGGCCUGUGUAAAACUCCUUCGACGAGUCGAGUUGUUUGGG
Molecule: ribosomal RNA, 198 nt
Filed under: Cladophialophora sp.
Lineage: Eukaryota; Fungi; Ascomycota; Eurotiomycetes; Chaetothyriales; Herpotrichiellaceae
Description: partial large subunit ribosomal RNA
Rfam family: Eukaryotic large subunit ribosomal RNA
Source: RNAcentral